Unclassified non-coding RNA from Castor canadensis (American beaver), 272 nucleotides. NCBI's taxonomy places the organism in Eukaryota, Metazoa, Chordata, Mammalia, Rodentia, Castoridae. The record is from Ensembl.
CGGGACUCAUUAAGCAGAGCGGGGUGCCGAGAGGUGCGCGCUGCCGGGCCCUGAGGCCGCCUUUGAGCGGUCGGGGCGGCUUCAUUAAGCGGCGUUAACAAGGCGUACAAAUGCAGGGCCCAGCAGCUUUCUUGCAAUGCCGGGGCCUUAGCAGGGCGCCAGGCUAAUGAGGGUCACUCAAAGGGGCUGAUCAAAUAUUCAAAUUUCCCCGCACGCCGGGAACUUUUAUGCACGGAGAAAGUUGAGGCAACUGAGCUGUGUUUACAGUCCCG